Molecule: ribosomal RNA, 253 nt
Filed under: uncultured bacterium
Lineage: Bacteria
Description: partial 16S ribosomal RNA
Rfam family: Bacterial small subunit ribosomal RNA
Source: RNAcentral
UACGUAGGGGGCAAGCGUUGUCCGGAUUUAUUGGGCGUAAAGAGCGUGUAGGCGGCCAUGCAGGUCAGCUGUGAAAACUCGAGGCUCAACCUCGAGACGUCGGUUGAAACCGUAUGGCUAGAGUCCGGAAGAGGAGAGUGGAAUUCCCGGUGUAGCGGUGAAAUGCGCAGAUAUCGGGAAGAACACCCGUGGCGAAGGCGGCUCUCUGGGACGGUACUGACGCUGAGACGCGAAAGCGUGGGGAGCGAUCCGG